RNAcentral lists this long non-coding RNA (3492 nucleotides) under Homo sapiens (human). RNAcentral describes it as "long independently transcribed non-coding RNA 630 (LINC00630)". Lineage: Eukaryota; Metazoa; Chordata; Mammalia; Primates; Hominidae. The record is from RNAcentral.
UUUUUAUUGAGACCAAUUUGGCCUGGGGAGAACCGCCUUCAGGCGUUUGGACUCAGUGGAGGUUGUGAGUGCCCAGCAGUGUGGCCUGAAUCUCCGUGGGGUUUAGGGAGACGAAAGGACCCCAGAUCGACGUCCCCUCGUUCCCACUUUGGGGAUCGGCGCUCUGGCUGUUUCGUGAAGGAGAGAGAGGUUGAUUCCAUACCCUGGCUAUUGUGAAUAAUGCUGCAGUGAACAUGGGAGUACAUACAUCUGUUUGAGGAACUCAGAGUGGUUUUCCAGAUGGGAAUCACAUUGCUCUCUGUCCCUGAGAUCUUGCUGGAGACAGGGCUACUCAGUCCCUCUUUGCCAGAUUGAUACUGGAAAAGCAGUUUCUAUUGAGCCCCCAAAUGAAGAGUGAGUGCAGAUGAAGAGGAGGCAGGACUCACAAGCCCUUGAACUUUAUUCCAGAUCUGUUAGCACCUACAGGACCCUGCACCAGGAUUUCAUCUGUACUAUCAGCUUCUUCAAAGAGAGAGAGGUUGUUGAAUUGAUAUUGGAAAAGCAGUUUCCCAUUGAGUCUCAAAUGAAGAGAGUGCAGAUGAAGAGGAGCUCUUCAUGUGGAUGUCUGAGCUCAUAUCAGGUGUCUGAAAGAGGCAGAUUCUGAGGAUUUGGGUCAUGAUGGCUGCCAAAGCUUCUACUCCUGACUUAAAGGGCAACAAUCCUAGGAGACCACCAGCACUUACAUCCCUGGUAGGACAUGACACCUGCUUAUGGCUCAGAAGUGACAAAAGAGAAUUAUCAGGAUGGCAGUCCUUAUAACCAGAUGCUUAUCAACAUUCUUCACUACAUUCUGAAGAUGAAUUUCUACAAGGGAAAUUGUUUAUAUUUGUUGUUGGGGAUAGAUAAGGAAAGAAGAAAAAGGCUCUGGUGAGAAACCCAUUGUACCUUCUGGAUAUGAUCACUACCCAAUUUUAUCAGUGUCAUUGAUCACUAACCCAGUGCCUCGUAUGGUGCCAGGCACAGAGUUACUCCAAGAAUGUACAAUAAUGGCUGGAUUCUCUUUCUCCCUGUGCAACUCUUCAUGCAUGUGACUGAACUUAUAUUAAGUGUCUGAAGGAGGUUCGUUCUGAGGAUCUGGGACAUGAUGGGUGCUGAAGCUUCUACUCAAGAUUUGAAGGGCAGCUGUCCUCAGGAGACCCCUGGCACUUCCCUCCAUGGUGGGAUGUGAUGCCUGAUUCCAGUGAGUUCAUAGAGCUGAACAAAAGUACGUUGUGGAAUAGCUCCUGUGAGGUUCACAACAUAGUCCGGAAGAUGAGAAACUACUUUUUUUAGUAACCUGGAUUCCCAUCUAAGAGAUGCCUUACUUUAUCGUAAAGCAAUGAGUUGUUCACUUGAGGAGGGAACUUCAUGUUUAACAUGUAUUUGCAACAAAUUUACAUACAUUUUCUGCCUGUAUGAAUAGUUGUCAGUGAUGCCCAUGAAUUUCUCAGAUGGAUGUUGAAGUAUACAGUUAGAAGGUUAGAAGAUCUUCCUAGCAAUCUGUGAUUACGGUAUGCAUUCUUCCAUGGUUUCUACGUUUUUGUCUAUUCUAUAAUGAAAUUUUCUAAGAAGCCAGAAAUUAAUUAAGUGCUACCUAAAAAUAUCAAAAUGUCAGGUACAAGAAUUUGGCAUUUUCAAAAUUAGUAAUUACAAUGUAAGUUUGCCCUAUUAUAAUGAUACCCAGCUAUGUCCAGUAACAUAACUAGAUUGUUCUGAAUACCGUUAUUAUUUCCCAAUAAUACAAACAUCACAAUUUCAGUUCUGUAGUACCUGGCCUACCUACCCUUCCCACUGCCUUGCCCCAGGUAAACACAGCAUGCCUGUCACUAUACAUUAUUUUACAUGCCUGGAAAUAUAUUUAAAUGGAAUCAUAGAGGUGGUUUCUUUUUUUUUUUUUUAUCAACACCUGGCUUUUUUCAUUCACUCCACUUAUUUUUAUAUUUAUCCAUUUUAUUGCAUUUAUCUAUUGAUAUACUUCAUUCUUUUUGAUUGCUAAAUACUAUUGCGGUAUACAACCACACUAAACAUUUUAUUAUCCAUCCAUUUGUCGAUGGACAUUUUGGUUGUUUCUCAUUUGGGGCUCUUGUAAAUAAAGCUGCUAUGAACAUUUGUGAAUAAGUCUUUUUGUGAAAAUAUGCAUUCUCAUUCAAGGGUCAAUACUUAGGAGUUCAAUCUCUGGAUCAUGUGGUAGAGGUAAGAUUAACAUUGUAAGAAAUGGCCAAACUGUUUUCAAAGUGGUUGUACCAUUUUUCAUUCCAAUGAGCAGCGUAUGAGGGUUUCAGCUUCCAGAAAAUUGCCAGUGAUUGGUAUGGUCAGUCUUUUAAAUUUUGAUCAUUCUUCUGGAAUGUAAUAGUAUCUCACUGUACUUUUCAUUUUCUUUCCCUAAUUAUUAAUGAUGUUGAAUAUCUUUUCAUAUGCUUAUUUGACAUCUGUAUAUUUUCUAUAGUGGAGUGUCUUUUCAACUCUUCUGUCCAUUUAUUUAUUGGAGUGUCUGUUUUUUCCUUAAGGAGCUUUGUGAGAUUUUCUGUAUUCUGGAUAUAAGCCUUUUACCAGAUAAAUGGUUUCCAAACAUUUUCUUCCAGACAAGGGCUUGUCAACAGUAUCUUUGGAAGAACAAAGUUUUUAACUUUUGGGAAGUCUAAUUUAUUGAUUUCUUCACCUACAGAUUGUAGUUUUGUCUCACUAAUGAAGUCUUUACCUAACCCAAAGUCACAAGGAUUUUCUCCUGUAUUUUCUGGUAGAAGUCUUAUAGUUUUAGGUUUUAUAUGUAUAUCUAUGAUCCACUUUGAGUUGACUUUUGUAUAUAGUAUGAUAUUUGGAUCACUGUUUGUAUUUGUGAAUAUAGAUAACCACUUCUCCCAGCACAAUUUGUUGAAAAGAGUAUCUUUGCUCCACUGAAUUGCCUUUGCAUCUUUGUCAAAAAAACAGUUAUCCAUGUAGGUUUGGUCGGUUUUGGAUUCCUUAUUCUAUUCCUUUGAUCUGCUUUUCUACCUUGAUGCCAACAGCACAGUCUUGAUUACUGUAGAUUUGUAAAGAGUCUUGAAGUCAGGUAGUGUUUGUUCUCUGACUUUGACCUUUUAUUCAAAGUUGUUUUUAUCAGCUAGAUCCAUUAAAUUUUCACAUGAAUUUUAGAAUCAGCCUAUCAAUUCCCUUUUUAAAACUUUGGUAAAAUUUUUUAUUCAGUUUGCAUUAAAUUUAUAGAUGAGAUCGGGGAGAAUUAAUAUCUUAACAAUACUGAGUCUUCUCAUCCAUGAACACAGUAUAUUCCCCAUUUAUUUAAGUCUCCUUUAAUCCUCUCAGCAAUGUUUUGUAAUGUUCAGUAUGCAGGUGUUAUACAAUUGUGGACAGAUUAUCCAUAAAUAUUUCAUACUUUUUGAAGCUACUGUAAAUGGCAUUAUUUUUAAAUACAAUGCCUAAUUACUAUAUUUUCUCUGAAUUAUUAUAUUUUCUCAGCAGCCAAAUAAUAAUAGCUCA